This is a long non-coding RNA of Triticum aestivum (bread wheat), 688 nucleotides long. RefSeq lists it as uncharacterized. Lineage: Eukaryota; Viridiplantae; Streptophyta; Magnoliopsida; Poales; Poaceae. The record is from RefSeq and is a predicted model, not a curated record. The transcript is spliced from 2 exons.
CCUCUGUUCACAGGGGGCUGGGUGGCCGUCGUGCGCCCGUCCACGCCGCGGAUCGACCACGUGCCGGCCAUCCACCACCUCCCCGGCGACCUACAAGUACCUCUCGACCCCCCUCGGCUGAACCCUAACCUCUCCUCCCUCCCCCUCGCGCCGUAACUCUUGCCCUCGCACACGCCCGAGCCCUCGCCGCCAUGGUCUCCGACGUCCACGUGCCUAUCGAGCUCCCCGCGCCCAGCCACCUCGUCCGCGAGCUUCUUCGACGUUCACUCCUUCGACUACAUCCACCAAUUGCAGCCGGGAGCCCCUGGAUCGCAGGGAUCGACAUCGUCUUCUACCUCCGGCCACCGCGACACCAUCGAUGGAUUUGUCGCCUUCGCUCCAUCCCCGGCCUCCUCGACCACGCCGCCGCGCUCACAGAGCCACGACACCACUGAUGACUACUACUACCCAGAGGAUGCCUACCACUACGUGAAGACCGUAGACGACUAGGAGUAGUUAGGAGGCUCCCAGGUAGGAGGCCUUGCCUUUUCGAUCGUUGUUGCUUUUGUGCUAGCCUUUUUAAGGCAAACUUGUCUAACUCAUGACUGUACUCAGAUAUUGUUGCUUCCGCCGACUCUUGUGUAUUCGAGCUUAUGUAUUCGAGCCCUUGAGGCCCCUGGCUUGUAAUAUAAAGCUUGUAUUAUUUUAA